Molecule: long non-coding RNA, 693 nt
Filed under: Brassica napus (rape)
Lineage: Eukaryota; Viridiplantae; Streptophyta; Magnoliopsida; Brassicales; Brassicaceae
Description: long non-coding RNA (BNAP_LNC007765)
Source: RNAcentral
AGUGAGAUAUGUGCUCUGUCCCAGAGACCCCUUGGCUUAACAACUUCACAAAUCGCUAUGAUUCGAGUAUAGAGCACGCUGACAUCAAUCUGGUGAACACAACCAAUAAAAAUACAAAAGCGAUAUGUUAUAAAUUCACGAAAUUUAGAGAACAUGAGACAACUUUCUAAAACAAAACAUAAAUAUAUACAUAAUUGUUCAAGCUGUGGAUCCUUAUCUAUUAAACCCAAAACCAACAUUUCAAUAAUUGGUAACUCUUAGCAUAAGAACUAAUGACAUUAUCAAAUAAGAAUCCAGAUAAACAUCUGAAACCAACAAAGUAACAGAAUGAAACACUAAAGCGGUUAUCAAACCCCUCUGUGUUGAUCAAAGGCUUACCAAUGAUAAAUAUCUAUAAAGCCCAAAACUUUAGAGACAUAAACACAACAAGGCUUGAAGACACCAAACCCUAACUUCAAACCCACAAAUCUAAAAAUGGAAAUGCAAAUUAAAUCAAAACAUCAAAAUAAAAAAGUUGAAAGCUUUUCAAACGGAAAUCGACUUUGGUAACCUGAUAAAGAGAGAUGGAGAGAGAUAGUGAUGGGCAGAAGCAGAGAAUGGAGAGGAGGAGGAGGAGGAGGAGGAGGCUCUCUUCUUUUCAAAAUCAAAGAGACUUUUGUCGCUGAGCGGUGAAAUAAACCUAAAAGUGACGCC